This is a long non-coding RNA of Polistes dominula (European paper wasp), 677 nucleotides long. Lineage: Eukaryota; Metazoa; Arthropoda; Insecta; Hymenoptera; Vespidae. The record is from RefSeq and is a predicted model, not a curated record.
UUUUAUGAUAAAGAAGACACCAAGGGAAUUCAUAAAUUUCGUAAAGAAAGUGAUCGGUGAAGCGGUCGAGCGAGCCACCUGCUACUAACUACUACUACUACUACUACUACUUACCACUACUACUACUACUUACUACUCACCAAGCUACUCAUUUCGAGCUGGAAAAGACAAGGGCGACGAUAUAACGCUGUUAACAACGUCCGAACGAGCUUACUUCUGCUACUCGGCUGAUACACGCGAUCGCGUGUAUUAUUAAUGCACUUACAACUGGUUCCACUUGAAACGAUUUAUCUAUCACUAAACAAAGAUGGAAGUGAAUGAAAGCAGGAUCGAUUCGAACGUCAAUCGAUAUACUUGAUCGAUCUAAUGCGUCUCAUGGAAUUUGAUGAAAUAAGCAACGUGGCAGAGAAACGAGCAAAGAGAACGGAGAUAGAUAGAGAAAGAGAAAAGAAACCAGCAAAGUCUCGGGACUCCUGGAGUGUGGGAAUCUUCGAGACUUUCUUCUCGUUCUUCUUUCGGUUCUUUUAAACGUCGUGUGCACUGAAUCCAAAAUAAACGCAGUCACCUCGUGGCCAACAUGCAUUCUCGCAGUACAAACCCGAGAGAAACAGAGUUCUGUAGUAAAUUCUCAAAACACAGACGCGAGAAAAGAGAGAGAGAGAGAGAGAAAGAGAAAA